AAGACAGCCAAUUAACUACUUAUCUGAAUAUGUUUCUGCAGAAAUUCAGAAACAGCUGGCAAUAGUGAUGUCAUUUUAUGAGCCUCAAGGACAACUAAG
RNAcentral lists this small nucleolar RNA (99 nucleotides) under Jaculus jaculus (lesser Egyptian jerboa). RNAcentral describes it as "Small nucleolar RNA SNORA33 (ENSJJAG00000007308.1)". Lineage: Eukaryota; Metazoa; Chordata; Mammalia; Rodentia; Dipodidae. The record is from RNAcentral.